AGCUGAGGGAUCGGCAUCGGCCCCGGCCCAGCGGGGCUGCCGGCUGUGAGGGGGCGCGGGGAUUAUAAGUGCUGUGCGUCUUCCUGCCCACCCUGGCUCCUGCCGCACUCUUGUGCAUGUUCUUCCCGGAGCUCUCGAGGUGUUGCGGAGACGCCGCCUCUGCAGGGUAGGAAGUGCCUUCGCUUCUGAGGCCGGGGAAGGAGAAACGGCGGUCUGAGCAGGGCCUAACUGUGACCAGCAAGGUGAGGAGCAGUUCACACAUCCCCUGGCAGAGCCCCAUCAGCAUGUGCUGUCUGAGCUUCCUGCUGAAGGUGGCACUCCAGCAAGAGCUGCCUUUCAGAAUUUGGAAAUUCAACCAGUAUGGACAAAAGUAUCAAUGUUUAUGUCUGUCUUUAGUUUUUGUAUUUCGGUGGUUCAGAUUUCACUGCAAAUUCUUUGAGAUCUUCAGCACAUGGAAAAUUAGAAUCAGUAAUUUAGUAUCAUAAUGAAGAGUAAUUAAGGCCUUUCCUAGAUACCAGAAAGCGAUCAAGGAAAGCUCGCUUCUUUCUUUCCAAGUCUCAUCUGGUGCUAUCAAGAGUAAAUGAAGCACAACUCAUGGUUAAUGAAGUUUUUACUAUUCUACUAAAAUAAAACUUAAUCUCUUAAAAUGCUUCCCUUUUGCCUUUCGUAUAUAAUUUCUGUCCAUACUUUGUCUAUUUUAGUGGAGUCAUAAGCCAUGUUUAGCCUGGACAAACUUCUUUAGAUUUUACUGAUUUCAAAACAUUGUCAAGUAGACACACUAGUGUGUCUUCUCUAUAUAUUGUCAGCCUGAUUCACGUACCUAUAAGUUCGUCUAAGACUCUUUCCACUGUAGCACAGAAAACAAAUGACCUUUCAGGGAAAUACCUAUCAGUGUUUCAAUCACUGCUGCUGCUUUUCACUUAGGAUUAUUGAAAAUCUCAAACUUUAUUCUCCUAGAAGUGCAGAACAACUGCAUUUUAAUCAUUUUAGAUGUUGGAGACCAGUUUAAGAGGGUGAUUUGUAGCAGUAGGCACUACAAUGAUUAAUGAGAUUUCAGUAGCUUUUCCAUAGCUUCUGGCCUAGAGAAAAAAAAAAAUCAACAAACAAAAAAAACCCCACCCCAAACCCAUAAGGCAGAUUAGUUAUGUGCCUUUUGCUGCUUCUUGUAAAAUGUUAAUGGACCCCUAAAGGUUUCAUUUUUGAAUGAGAACCAUUUCAGCAAGAAUUUAAGCAGAUGCAGAGGACAUUCAAGGAACUUGUGAAAAUUCCUUGUGUUCUGCUUUAUAAAGUCUGUUAGGCACAUUUGGCACAAGUUGUGAAUCUGACCCUGAUUUCCAAGCAUUUAAAUGGUCCAAAUAAAAUGCCAUUUCUGUAAUAUUUUUAUAUUUUUUCUUUUUUCCAAGUGUAUAUUAAGUACACAUCUGAAGAAACAAUAUUGUACUCAUUUAUUUUAGAUGUAGGUAGCAGUCACAAGAGAUCAAAUGCUGUUACGUGUAACGAAGUAUGAAGGUGACAAGAUACAUGAACCAGAGGCUUUUCAGCUCGAUCACAUCAUCCAGCACAUAGUUACACAGAUUUUGUAUUUUAGACACCAAUGUCACCUUGGGGUUGAAAUCAUUCUAGAUGAAUUUGUGUGAGUAAGUAUAAAUAAGAUAGUUCCCCACACCCCAGUUAUCUUUCGACUUUAAAAAUAGAAAGGAAAAUGAGUCGUCCUGAAUUUAGAGAUGAGUUAUUUGUGUGUGGUAUUUGUGAUGGAAAAUUCUUUCUAAACUAAACACAGUAAUAAAUUGUCUUCUUCUUUCCUCUCAUAUUUUAAGGGGGCAGCCUGCUUCUAGUGACAGAGUACUAGACUAGACUGAUCCUGGUCUCUUUUAGUAUUUGACUAAUACAUACAGCACUAUCUAUUAAAGUCAUUAAUUGUAUCAAGCAAAAUAUUUUUCUGUAGUUUUUCUAUUAAAUUUCUUUAAAGCCACAUGCAGAAUGUUACUUCCCAUGUUGUAUUUUAGUUCCACUGACUCUAAUAUGGAUGAUACACUGAUGGGCUUUUGAAAUCCUGAAAAAUAUGAAUGUGACGGGGAGCUUAGAUGGGACUUCAAAAAAUAAUAUAAAUCAUUUAACUACUAUUACAAAAUUUUUAUAAAUGCUGAAUAAAGGUGUCAAUUAAUAAAUGUA
Molecule: long non-coding RNA, 2172 nt
Organism: Vidua macroura (Pin-tailed whydah)
Lineage: Eukaryota; Metazoa; Chordata; Aves; Passeriformes; Viduidae
Exons: 3
Source: RefSeq, a predicted model, not a curated record